This 2161-nucleotide long non-coding RNA is filed under the name Eutrema salsugineum. The record is from RNAcentral. Lineage: Eukaryota; Viridiplantae; Streptophyta; Magnoliopsida; Brassicales; Brassicaceae.
GAUACAUAUACUAACGGGUGCGAUCAUACCAGCACUAAUGCACCGGAUCCCAUCAGAACUCCGCAGUAAAGCGUGCUUGGGCGAGAGUUGUACUAGGAUGGGUGACCUCCUUGGAAGUCCUCGUCUUGCACCCCUUUUUGUUCCUUUCGAUUGUUUUUUUUUUUUGGGUCUUUUCAUUUGAAAAACAAGGCAUCUUCCAAACGACGCCAUUUCUAGACCGUGUGGAACCAUGCCUCCUACAGAAACUUUUCGGAAAGCCCCAAGUGUGCUCUCUGGCAUGUCCAAGGGUUUAAAGACUAUAGGUGCGGUAUACAAGGCCAAAAUUUCGAGUUUUAGACCCUCUUCUAGGCCCUUUUCUAAAACAUAAGCCCCAGUUUAAGUGUCGUCAAAUGUGGUGUCCUAAUUUAUAUAUCUUGCAACGAAUGCUCGUCGCAGCUGGGCGGGAAAAGCCAUAUAAAGAGUGCAACACACGUGAAGAGAUUUCAUUGCGGUCUCAAAGCCAAAGGAUAUAUGCUAUUGCGAUACAUAUACUAACGGGUGCGAUCAUACCAACAAUAAUUCACCGGUUCCCAUCAGAACUCCGCAGUAAAGCGUGCUUGGGCGAGAGUUGUACUAGGAUGGGUGACCUCCUUGGUAGUCCUCGUCUUGCACCCCUUUUUUGUUCCUUUUGAUUCUUUUUUUUUUUGGGUCUUUUCAUUUGAAACACAAGGCAUCUUCCAAACGACGCCAUUUCUAGACCGUGUGGAACCAUGCCUCCUACAGAAACUUUUCGGAAAGCCCCAAGUGUGCUCUCUGGCUUGUCCAAGGGUCUAAAGACCAUGGGUGCGGUUUACACACGUGAAGAGAUUUCAUUGCGGUCUCAAAGCCAAAGGAUAUAUGCUAUUGCGAUACAUAUAUUAACGGGUGCGAUCAUACCAGCAUUAAUGCAUCGGUUCCCAUCAGAACUCCGUAGUAAAGCGUGCUUGGGCGAGAGUAGUACUAGGAUGGGUGACCUCCUGGGCAGUCCUCGUGUUGCACCAUUUUUUUGUUCCUCUUGAUUCUUUUUUUUUUUUGGGUCUUUUCAUUUGAAAAACAAGGCAUCUUCCGAACGACGCCAUUUCUAGACCGUGUGGAACCAUACCUCCUACAACAACUUUUCAGAAAGCCCCAAGAGUACUCUCGGGCGUGCCCAAGGGUCUAAAGACCAUGGGUGCGGUUUACAAGGCCAAAAUUUUGAGUUUUAGACCCUCUUCCGGGCCCUUUUCCAAACAAAAGCCCCGGUUAAAGUGUCGUCAAACGUUGUGUCCUAAUUUAUAUAUCUUGCAAUGAAUGCUCGUCGCAGCUGGGUGGGAAAAGCCAUAUAAAAAGUGUUACACACGCCAAGAGAUUUCAUUGCGGACUCAAAACCAAAGGAUAUAUGCUAUUGCGAUACAUAUACUAACGGGUGUGAUCAUAACAGCACUAAUGCACCGGAUAUCAUCAGAACUCCGCAGUAAAGCGUGCUUGGGCGAGAGUUGGACUAGGAUGGGUGACCUCCUUGGUAGUCCUUGUCUUGCACCCCUUUUUUGUUCCUUUUGAUUCCUUUUUUUUUUUUGGGUCUUUUCAUUUGAAACACAAGGCAUCUUCCGAACGACGCCAUUUCUAGACCGUGUGGAACCAUGCCUCCUACAGCAACUUUUCGGAAAGCCCCAAGUGUGCUCUCUGGCUUGUCCAAGGGUCUAAAGACCAUGGGUGCGGUUUACAAGGCCAAAAUUUUAAGUUUUGGACCCUCUUCCGGGCCCUUUUCUAAAACAUAAGCCCCGGUUUAAGUGUCGUUAAACGUGGUGUCCUAACUUAUAUAUCUUGAAACGAAUGCUCGUUGCAGCUGGGCAGGAAAAGCCAUACAAACAGUGCAACACACGAGAAGAGAUUCCAUUGCGGUCUCAAAGCCAAAGGAUAAAUGCUAUUGCGAUACAUAUACUAACGGGUGCGAUCAUACCAGCACUAAUGCACCGGAUCCCAUCAGAACUCCGCAGUAAAGCGUGCUUGGGCGAGAGUUGUACUAGGAUGGGUGACCUCCUUGGAAGUCCUCGUCUUGCACCCCUUUUUGUUCCUUUCGAUUGUUUUUUUUUUUUUUUGGGUCUUUUCAUUUGAAAAACAAGGCAUCUUCCGAACGACGCCAUUUCAAGACCGUGUGGAACCA